This 253-nucleotide ribosomal RNA is filed under the name uncultured bacterium. RNAcentral describes it as "partial 16S ribosomal RNA". It matches the Rfam family "Bacterial small subunit ribosomal RNA", at positions 524 to 776 of the family's 1533-position model. The record is from RNAcentral.
UACGGGGGGGGCAAGCGUUGUUCGGAAUUACUGGGCGUAAAGGGCUCGUAGGUGGCCAACUAAGUCAGACGUGAAAUCCCUCGGCUUAACCGGGGAACUGCGUCUGAUACUGGAUGGCUAGAGAUUGGGAGAGGGAUGCGGAAUUCCAGGUGUAGCGGUGAAAUGCGUAGAUAUCUGGAGGAACACCGGUGGCGAAGGCGGCAUCCUGGACCAACACCGACGCUGAGGAGCGAAAGCCAGGGGAGCAAACGGG